This 400-nucleotide ribosomal RNA is filed under the name Plasmodium inui. Its description in RNAcentral is "bacterial SSU rRNA". It matches the Rfam family "Eukaryotic small subunit ribosomal RNA", at positions 682 to 1063 of the family's 1831-position model. Lineage: Eukaryota; Apicomplexa; Aconoidasida; Haemosporida; Plasmodiidae. The record is from RNAcentral.
ACCGGACCGCUUUUAUUUAAUGAUUCUUUUUAGAUCUUUCUUUUUUGCUUCAACAUAAUAGAAAAUCUUAUUACUUUGAGUAAAUUAGAGUGUUCAAAGCAAACAGAUUAUAGCAUCUUUAUGCGUUUGAAUACUACAGCAUGGAAUAACAAAAUUGAACAAGUCAGAAUUUUGUUCUUUUUUCUUAUUUUGGCUUAGUUACGAUUAAUAGGAGUAGCUUGGGGGCAUUUGUAUUCAGAUGUCAGAGGUGAAAUUCUUAGAUUUUCUGGAGACAAACAACUGCGAAAGCAUUUGCCUAAAAUACUUCCAUUAAUCAAGAACGAAAGUUAAGGGAGUGAAGACGAUCAGAUACCGUCGUAAUCUUAACCAUAAACUAUGCCGACUAGGCUUUUUGGGAAUG